GAUGAAGAACGUAGUGAAAUGCGAUAAGUAAUGUGAAUUGCAGAAUUCAGUGAAUCAUCGAAUCUUUGAACGCACCUUGCGCUCCUUGGUAUUCCGAGGAGCAUGCCUGUUUGAGUGUCAUGAAUCUCUCAAACUCUUAGUUUCAUUACUGAGUGUUUGGAUUUGGAGGUCUAUGCUGGCGCAAGUCAGCUCCUCUUAAAUACAUUAGCUUGGGUCUUGCAUGUCUGGAUCCUUGGUGUGAUAAUUAUCUACGCCAUGAUGUCCCUUCAAGCCCUGCUUCUAAUCGUCUGAAUAAGACAAUUUAUUACUUGACAUCUGACCUCAAAUCAGGUAGGACUACCCGCUGAACUUAAGCAUAUCAAUAAGCGGAGGA
This 373-nucleotide unclassified non-coding RNA is filed under the name soil metagenome. RNAcentral's name for it is "partial contains 5.8S ribosomal RNA, internal transcribed spacer 2, and large subunit ribosomal RNA". The stretch from base 1 to 120 matches the Rfam family "5.8S ribosomal RNA", at positions 35 to 154 of the family's 154-position model. The record is from RNAcentral.